RNAcentral lists this ribosomal RNA (99 nucleotides) under Streptococcus pneumoniae. Lineage: Bacteria; Bacillati; Bacillota; Bacilli; Lactobacillales; Streptococcaceae. The record is from RNAcentral.
GAGAUACACCUGUACCCAUGCCGAACACAGAAGUUAAGCCCUAGAACGCCGGAAGUAGUUGGGGGUUGCCCCCUGUGAGAUAGGGAAGUCGCUUAGAUU